Molecule: long non-coding RNA, 2380 nt
Filed under: Homo sapiens (human)
Lineage: Eukaryota; Metazoa; Chordata; Mammalia; Primates; Hominidae
Description: non-protein coding lnc-GLB1-3:4
Source: RNAcentral
ACCAGAGCAGCGCUGCCCGCUUGGCCUCGCCACGUCCGGCCCGAGCGCUGCCACCCCCGACACUGCAGGCAUUAAAUGCCACUAUCCAGCGGCGACACAGAUUCCUCCGGAUAACUUGGGGGCCGCGUGCCUUCCGAAGAGGGAACGCCGGAACAAGCCCCGACAGGCGAGGGGCGAGCGGGGGCAGGGAGGUCGGAAGACUCCCUGGAGCAGCUGAGGCUUCCCUUCGCGAUAGACGAAAGGAGUUCCCAAAAGGAGAGUUCGCUGUGCAGUCCCAGUCCCGGCGAGAGCAGAAUUUGGUUCCACGAGUAUUUGCUCCUCUGGUUUUGCUCAUUGGAAUCCAUGGGAAAAUCACCCUGGAAAAAGCCCUUAAAUCAACCCAGCUGGACACAUGUGCUGAUGGCCCUAGGAAGCUGCAGAAGUACCUCUCCAAAAGGAUGAAGCCGUCUUGGGGGCCAGGGUGCUGUCCUGAGAUGGGAGCGUUUCCUAGGCUGAGGAAGAGCCUGGCAGCCCCACCGGGAAUGCCUAAGCCCUCAGCUGCCCCCAGAGCUCCCUCCUUAGCACCUGGAGCAAAAUGAACAUCAGUGAACAUUUUCUGAAAUGUGUGAGGAGUGAAAAAUUAUUGAUCAAAUAAGACCAAAACAGAGCCCCUCCUUUGCCAAACGAAGAAGCAAACUUUGUAUAAUUUAAAAAUUAAAGAGGAAGCUUCUCAUGCCACCAUCUCUUGCCUAAACAAUGUAUUUCUUCCAUAAUUUGAGACCUGUGUAGAAACAUGAAAUGCUCAUAUGAAUCAAUGCACUCCUAUAAUUUUUUACCAUAAUUUUCUACCAUACUGGCCUUGCCAUAGAGAUGUUUCAUGUAAUUUUGUUUUGUUUCGUUUCUUUUCCUUUCUUUGAUUGUUUUUCCUUCUUUUUUAAAAAACAAAAACAAGAGGAAAACAGAUGGGGGAAGAGAAUUGCCAGAAGGAAGAUGGCCCCAGAGGGUCAGAAGAGGGAUGGCCCAGACCUGCUGUCUCCCUCUUAGUUUGGCCCCACCCACCACCAAAAAAAGAAAGAAAGAAAAAGAAAAGAAAGAUGACAAGGAAAAAAAACCUCAAUCGUCCUCCUGGUCCUAAGACUCAACAUGUAUUUUGAAAACGAGUAGCAGAGGUGGUACUUCAGCUGAGCCAUCACGGAGGAGCAGGAAGGCUGUAACUCCAGAAAGAGGAAUCAAACUUGACAGCGGUUUGUGGGUUUGUUUCCUGGGGACCAUUGCUCAGAGGAAAAAAAAAAAAAGGAAGAAAAGAGAGAGCGAGAAGUGGGGGUGAGGUUUGAUUUCUCAUCGUGAAGUAGCUUUCCUUCUUUCUUUUCUUGAAUUGACAGCACAUUGCCAGGAAGCAGGCCUGUAGUGUAAAUUGUUAAAUUAGCACAUUCCUAAUUUUGGUUAAGACAAUUUUUUAGCACUGGUAGCAAAGGGGGAAAUCUUUAAGUCAACCAAUUUAACCCCACUUAUAUAAGAAAUACAGCUUAUAGCUAUAAUGAUUUUUUUUAAUAUGGCAUAGCGACGGUUAGUAUUUGAAUCUAAUAAGGCUUUAUACAGCUUAUCCAUGAGGAGCCAGAGCUACACAUCCAGAUGAGGAGCCAAAGACACAGUCCACUGCUAUAAACUACGUUGUAUUAAAUUUUUCAUUGCCAUCCUAGCUAAUAAACACCCUUUGUUAGCAAAGGAGGAGGACGCAGGCUUCCAGUUUUUCCUCCACUCAUUUACAUUUGAAAGGGAGUCUAUAUGCCUUCAAGAAUCCUGAAAAUAAAUCAUCUUGUAUUUUAAUAAUUAACUAAAAAGAAACUAAAGGUACAAAAAACUAGCCGUGUGUGGUGGCAGGCGCCUGUAAUCCCAGCUAUUCGGGAGGCUGAGGCAAGAGAAUUGCUUGAACCCGGGAGCCGGAGGUUGCAGUGAGCUGAGAUCCUGCCACUGAACUCCAGCCUGUGUGACAGAGCAAGACUCCGCCUCGUAAAAAAAAAAAAAAGAAAGAAAAAAAAGAAACUAGCCCUAAAAUUAUAUAAGCAAUACAUUUUCAUUCUUUCUUGAAUUCAUCUGUAGCCAUGUUUUGUAUUCAAAGGUGACACUAGCUUCUGUCACUCUCUCAGACCUUGGGUUGGGGGUUAGGCCACAUUUCCAUCUGAGCGACUUCGCAUCUGCUUUCUUCAUCUGAUCCUUUAAUUAAAUAUUAGAUGCACCCACUUGUUUUGAUGUCAAAAUUGCACCUUUCACCAUCAUCCUCAGGGUGCAUUCAGAUAGUUUUUAAGUCCAUAAAUCACCAGAGUAUUUUUUUAAACAUUAAACAUUACAUCAUAAUUACUAUUUUGAACGAUGGCAGGGGGUGAGGGGAUGGGAUGGGGGG